Molecule: long non-coding RNA, 2749 nt
Organism: Salvelinus fontinalis (brook trout)
Lineage: Eukaryota; Metazoa; Chordata; Actinopteri; Salmoniformes; Salmonidae
Exons: 4
Source: RefSeq, a predicted model, not a curated record
CGUCGUCCCCUCGCCCCGACACGGGCGCGAACCAGGGACCCUCUGCACACAUCAACAACAGUCAACCACGAAGCGUCGUUACCCAUCGCUCCACAAAAGGCCGCGGCCUUUGUGGAGCGAUGGGUAACGACCGUGCUUCGUGGGCGACCGUUGUUGAUGUGUGCAGAGGGUCCCAGGUACGCGCCCGUGUCUGGGCGAGGGGACGCUGUAAAGUUAUGCUGUUACAUACAGUUGCACGUUUGUAUGAAGGUGUGGUUAUUCACAGGCAAAUUGUUAUAUGCUAUGGAGGUACAUUUGUGUCUUUUUGUCGAAAUCAAAAAUAAUUGUUCUGACAGCUAUUUUUUCCCCGACAGAAAAGGAAGUCAAAGCGGACACCUACGAAGAUGGCAUCUCAGAGAGCAAGCUGUCCAAGGGGGUCGAAAAUGUAGAUAUUGCCAGAUGUUCACUGUGUGAGGAUCAGGCCGUUGAAGAUUUAUUGCUGGCAAAAAGUGUCCCUAACCAGAGGUUAUAUCAGCUGUUUUGUUGAACCUCUCCCGCAUCUGAACUGGCUGACAGAGGGCACAGCCUGAUCAUAGGUAUGUUUUGAUGUGAGAUGAAUCCAGUCCCGACAGCGCAAUUGUGAUGAACUGAGAGAAUAUUAGGGUAGCACUGUCAUUCAUGAAUCAUAUGCUAUCUGCCGCUGUUCUUACCUCUCGCCCCACUUCGUCUUCUAAUGCACACCAUAUGUGCAUUGAAGUACAGAUUUGCCUACCUUUAAAAAAUUUAAACUAGGCAAGUCAGAUAAGAAUGACGGCCUAGGAACUGCCUUGUUCAGGGGCAGAAGGACAUAUUUUUACCUUGUCGGCUUGGGGACUCGAUCUUGCAACCUUCCGGUUACUAGUCCACCUGCCCGCCCAAGAUUGAACUUGUAUUUAUAAUAUUACAAUUAAAAUGCACUUCUUUCAAUAAAGUGUUUCACAUUCUCCACUGGUUGAAAUACUAUCCUGUGUCCGUCCUCUGAUUAAUGGAGUUAAAUGUGCAUAGGUUUUUUUCUCUCUGUAUAUAUGAAUUACAGAUCAAUCAUGUUUAGUCUAUUGUAUAGUUACAAUGUGUAAUCAUUGAUAUCCCAGGAGCAGUAAACACUGUUGAAGUGUAUAAUUGUAAUACAUGCAGACACCGCAUCAUUUAAAUAAUGGUGUUUGAUAUGACUGAAAAAUACAGUCAUACCUGAACCGCACCUUUAUUUGCCAAGGAAGAGUACAUGAUCGGUGAAUAUAUUCAAUGUACAGGCUACAAUGUGGUGGUAACUACAGUCUUGCAUCCUUGGCACAUUAAAGUUAUAUUCAACUCUAGGCUUCAUUAAUGCCAUUCAGACUUGAGGUUCAUAGACUGGUAUGAAUAUUAGUUAAGAACUGUACGUUUUAGGGUCCAUACCCAAAUCGGCUACAUAGAUAUUUUUAACCCGACACAAUAAGCAAGUAAAUAGCUAGCUAGCUAGCUAUGUUACUUCAGCUGCAUUGCAAGGCAAGCUUACACAAUUGUGCAGUCAAUGCGUUUGUCUCUACAUUAACACAUUCCUCUCAAAUUCUACAUUUGCUUGACUCGUUAAGACGUCAGCCAUCUUCGUUGAGCGCCACAAGGCAAGGGUAGCUCGCGUCUUUAAAUCUGCGUAUUCCUCCAAAGCUCAGCUGUCCUGAGUCUGCACAGGACCUAGGAUCAAGAGACACUUAAGUGUUUUAGUACUAUAUCUCUUGACAUAAUGAUGAAAAUAAUAAUGGCCUCUAAACCUUCAAGCUGCAUACUGGACCCUAUUCCAACUAAACUACUGAAAGAGCUGCUUGCUUUGCUCAGCCCUCCUAUGUUGAACAUAAUAAACGGCUCUCUAUCCACCGGAUGCGUACCAAACUCACUAAAAGUGGCAGUAAUAAAGCCUCUCUUGAAAAAGCCAAACCUUGACCCAGAAAAUAUAAAAAACUGUCAGCCUAUAUCCAAUCUUGCAUUCCUCUCAAAAAUGUUAGAAAAAGCUGUUGCGCUGCAACUCACUGCCUUCCUGAAGACAAACAAUGUAUACGAAAUGCUUCAGUCUGGUUUUAGAUCCCAUCAUAGCACUGAGACUGCACUUGUGAAGGUGGUAAAUUACCUUUUAAUGACAUCAGACCGAGGCUCUGCAUCUGUCCUCGUGCUCCUAGACCUUAGUGCUGCCUUUGAUACCAUCGAUCACCACAUUCUUUUGGAGAGAUUGGAAACCCAAAUUGGUCUACACGGACAAGUUCUGGCCUGGUUUAGAUCUUAUCUGUCGAAAAGAUAUGUUUGUCUCUGUGAAUGGUUUGUCCUCUGACAAAUCAACUGUACAUUUCGGUGUUCCUCACGGUUCAGUUUUGGGACCACUAUUGUUUUCACUAUAUAUUUUACCUCUUGGGGAUGUCAUUCGAAAACAUAAUGUUAACUUUCACUGCUAUGCGUAUGACACACAGCUGUACAUUUCAAUGAAACAUGGUGAAGCCCCAAAAUUGCCCUUGCUAGAAGCCUGUGUUUCAGACAUAAGGAAGUGGAUGGCUGCAAACGUUCUACUUUUAAACUCGGACAAAACAGAGAUGCUUGUUCUAGGUCCCAAGAAACAAAGAGCUUCUGUUGAAUCUGACAAUUCAUCUUGAUGGUUGUAAAGUCGUCUCAAAUAAAACUGUGAAGGACCUCGGUGUUACUCUGGACCCUGAUCUCUCUUUUGACGAACAUAUCAAGACUGUUUCAAGGACAGCUUUUUUCCAUCUAC